Molecule: ribosomal RNA, 1532 nt
Filed under: Entomortierella parvispora
Lineage: Eukaryota; Fungi; Mortierellomycota; Mortierellomycetes; Mortierellales; Mortierellaceae
Description: SSU rRNA
Rfam family: Bacterial small subunit ribosomal RNA
Source: RNAcentral
UAUCGCAAGAGUUUGAAUUUGGCUCAGAAUCAACGUUAUCUAGAAGUUUAAUACAUGCUAGUUGAAUGAAUAUUAUAUAUUCAUAGCGACCAGGUGAGGAAUAAAUAGGAAGCUACACCAUGGAUAGGGUUAAUCCCUAAUAUACUUCUGGCUUGCCAGAAGAAAAAGGAAAGUUUUCGCCGCGGGAUGUGCCUAUUUCGGAUUAGGUAGUUGGUAAGGUAAUGGCUUACCAAGCCUAUUAUCCGUAGCGAGUCUGAGAGGAGGGUUCGCCACAAUGGCUCUGAAAUAAUAGCCAUACCUAACAAAAAGGUCAGCAGUAAAGAAUUUUGGACAAUGAUCGAAAGAUUGAUCCAGCUAACUAGAAGAGGAAAAGCAUCUUUAUGGUAUACCUCUAAGAUAGGGAGGAUAAUGACGUUACCUAUUUAUUAAUCCCGACCAAUCUCGUGCCAGCAGUCGCGGUAAUACGAGAGGGGUUAACGUUAUUCAGCAUAAAUGGGUCUAAAGCGUAUGUAGGUUGUAUUAUCAAACAGUAGUUAUAAAAUUUCAAUAGAAAAACUAUAAAAUGUAAUUGAGAUACUAGAGUGUAAUUGAAGAUAGAGGAAUACUAGGAGUAAGGAUGAAAUCUUAUUAUACUUGGUAGACACACUAAAGGCGAAGGCAUCUAUCUAAUUAAACACUGACACUGAGAUACUAAAGUAUGGGGAGCAAAAAGGAUUAGAGACCCUUGUAGUCCAUACCCUAAACUAUGAGUGGAUAAAAUUGGAAAUUAAGUUCAGUUUUAAUGUGAAGACUAUACCACUCCACCUGGGGAGUACUGUCGCAAGAUUGAAACCCAAAAGUAUUGACGGUGCUGAAGACCAGCAGUGAAGCAUGUUAUUUAAUUCGAUAAUCCACGCAUAACCUUACCACUUCUUGCAAUGUACCAAUAUAAUUGGUAACACAGGCGUUGCAUGGCUGUCGUCAGCUUGUAUCGUAAGACGUUAGAUUAAUUUCGUUAACAAGCAAAACCCUUGUCUGUAAUUAUAAAAAUUAAAAAUAAGAAGAUCUACCCUUGGGUGAAAUUUUGUAUAAAGUUUAAUUUAAACUACAGAAGUACUCGAUUAAUGUUGAGUUAAUUAGGACUAAGACAAGCCUUCAUGGCCCUUAUGAAGUGGGCUAUAGACGUGCCACAAAGACCUUUACAAUAAGAAGCAAAAAUUUAUAUUUGAGCUAAUCUUUAAAAAAGGUUAAUAAACGAAUUAUAAUCUGCAACUCGAUUAUAUGAAGUAGGAAUUGCUAGUAAUCAGGAAUCAGGAUGUCCUGGUGAAACAUAAUAUUCGGCGUGUACAAAUCGCUCGUCAAGCGGCGGAAGUGAAGUAAUCUCAAAUAGGGAGGUCUUAUUUAUAAUUUAUCUUAACUAAAAUAGUUACCAUUAAAACGGUAUCCAGAUAUAAUUUAUAUCUAUGAUUUCUCCUUAUGUCCAUUUCUUCACAACUGCUGUUAAGUCGAAACAUAGUCCGGGUACGGGAACGUGCUGGGGAGUAGUUAUAAAC